AAGUACAUAUUUGUUUAUGCAUCAUGUGUAAAAACAUGCCUAAUAAUUUUUAACACACACAAACAUGUCCCAACAAUACUGACAUUCAUUUGGACAAUGUUUUAUAAACAAAACAAAGGCAACAUAUUACAAGCUUUUUACGCCACUCAAUUGAGUUCAUCUUGUAAUGUUGUUUAGAUAAGAUAGCUAAGAUAUGUAUCACUAACAUUGUAAUUUUUGAUUAUAUGUAGGCAAAGAGAAUGAUUUGCAUCUAGAAAGAGUAAUGAUUAGCAAAAAAUCAAGUGGUCAGUUUACUUCCUGCUAACAUGUAUGUGUGGCUACAUCAACUUUUUCCUCCUCCAAUACCCUAAAAAAAAAGAAAAGGAAUAAAUGUGCUUAAUAUUUUUUCCUAUUAUUUUGGCCCACUUAUAAUUAAUGAUGUUAAAAAAAAGGGUAAAGGAGCUAAGUGUGAUAUUUUGAAAACCAUCAAAAACACUUGCAAACUAUUUUGUGUUAAUUUUCACAAAUGUCUAACUUGUUUUUUCACAUUUUUUUGGGUGGCUGCUUGUCCUGGCCUUUGCCUUUAGCACUGUCAUGUUGGCGUGCUCUGGUGGACCGUCUUGGUGGUGAUGAGACUGGCGUGAUAUUUGGAGUAGUCGUACCAAGAACUGCUGGUUGUUUGCUGUUGGUGCAUGCAUCUGAGAUUUUCAGUCAGCAUCUUAUACCCAAUGUCAUACUGUAUGACUCAAGUGGACAUACAUAUCCUUAAUGGAUGUGGACAAGGACAUUUAGUUUGGAUUCCAUUUCAGCUUUUACUUACUGUGUUUGAUACUCACAAUCAAGAUGAGGGGAGUGUGGAUGACGUCUUGGAGGUGUGUCCAUAAUUUGGAGUGGUGGCACCGAACAUACGGACGAUAAUCUUCGUGGCGGGGUAGCCUGCUUUGUUUGUGCCGGGACAGACGACCUUGCUUUCUUUUCCGCCACAGGUUUCUGGUGGUGAUGUCUUCCAGAAGAGCCACUUCUGCUGCUCCAUACUUCUUUUGAUGGACCUUUUAAUGAAAGUGCAAUUUUGUUAUGGCCAUUCCUUUACAAGCAUACCUUAUACUACAAUGGACACUUUACCUGCUUCCGCAGCGUCAUCAUCAUCAGAUGUGUUAGGAUUUACUGGCCGACGAGUAGUACUGCUUUUUUCAGACACUGUAUAAAAUGAGAUAUAUUCAUAAAUCAUGCUAUUGUGUAUACAUCCACCCAUUAUGCUUAUAAACAGUUUUACAUUUAGAAAUGCUUGGUUUUGAAUUCAAACAAACAUAAGGACCAGAAAGCCAAAAAUUAAACACAAAAAACAAC
Pseudophryne corroboree (corroboree frog) is the source of this 1326-nucleotide long non-coding RNA. RefSeq lists it as uncharacterized. The transcript is spliced from 3 exons. NCBI's taxonomy places the organism in Eukaryota, Metazoa, Chordata, Amphibia, Anura, Myobatrachidae. The record is from RefSeq and is a predicted model, not a curated record.